Molecule: unclassified non-coding RNA, 3724 nt
Filed under: Eurytemora carolleeae
Lineage: Eukaryota; Metazoa; Arthropoda; Copepoda; Calanoida; Temoridae
Description: zinc finger protein 431
Source: RNAcentral
UAUCCUUGUACCCAGUGCGAACUCGCUGCUACUACAGCAAGUGCUCUAAAGAACCAUAAUAAGACUAAACAUAAUGAAAAAGAAAUCCUUGUGCUCAGUGUGAACAUUCUACCAAUACAGCAAGUAAUCUAAGUAAGCAUAUCAAAAGUGACCAUGAAGGAGUAAGAUAUCUAUGUGACAAAUGUGAUUAUUCUGCCACUGAACUCCUGAAGAAUUAUAUUAAAAAUAAACAUGAGGGAGCAAGAUAUUUAUGUGACGAGUGUAUUUAUGAUUUUUCUAAACUCUGAAGUACAACAUUAACAUUAUAUUGGCGUUCAGUUUGUGGAAGGUUUAAAUCUUCAAGAAUUAUUAAAACGUAUUCUAACCUUACAUUGCCACCAUAGCUAGCUUGAUAAAAGCAAACAUGGACUUAGUAUGCAAGUUGCAUAAGGCUAUUUUAUAAAUAAUGUUCAUGGACACAAAUUUCCUGUAAUUUAUGUAGUCAUCAACAUUUUUGUGCAUGACAGUAUUAAUAUUUCAAAUUGGAGAGAUCAAGUUCCAAAUAUUUCAUAGAGUUACUUUAGAGAAGACUUUUUUCUUUUUCAGAUAGAAUGGCAGAAGAAUCAACUAUGGAAGAAAAAGAGAUAAAAGAAAACCAAGUUUUUGUCAAGCAAGAGAUUUGUCCAGCUUCUAGUUUAAAAUAUUCUUGGGAUGUGCUAGAGGAAGAUGGUAGGAUAAAUGAUGGAAUUGCUGAAAAUAUGAGUCACGAAAUAAUAUUGGAAGAGUUUGAGAUGAAAGAAGAAACUCUUCCAGGUUUUACUGUAGAAGAUACUUGUACAGUUUAUGUGCAAGGGGAAAGAAUAGAAAGAGAAAGUACGGAUAAUCAAAAUGUAAGCCUGAAUAUCAAAGAAGAUCUUCUUUUCAAAGAACCUAUAAGCCUCAAGAAGACCAAACAUAAAGGAUUGAGAUAUCCUUGUGAUGACUGUAAUUAUGUGGCAAACAAAGCUUCAAAUCUCAAGAGACAUAUUAGCCGUAAACUUGAAGGAGUGAAAUAUCCCUGUGAUCAGUGUGAAUACGCUGCACCUAGUACUUCUUGUCUAAAAAGGCAUACUGAAAAUAUACAUGAAGGCUUCUGUAGAUAUCCAUGUGAUCAGUGUGAAUACGCUGCACCUACUACUUCUUGUCUAAAAAGGCAUAUUGAAAAGAUACAUGAAGGAGUGAGAUAUUCCUGUGACAAGUGUGAUUUCACUGCACCUAGUACUUCUAGUCUAAAAAAGCAUAUUGGAAAUAAACAUGACGGAUACCCUUGUGGUGAUUGUGAUUAUGUGGCAACUCUAGCUAAAUCUCUCAAGAGACAUAUUAGACACAAACAUGAAGGAGUGAGAUAUCCCUGUGACCAGUGUGAUUACACUGCACCUAGUACUUCUAGUCUAAAAAAGCAUAUUGGAAAUAAACAUGAAGGAUACUCUUGUGGUGAUUGUGAUUAUGUGGCAACUCGAGCUAAAACUCUCAAGAGACAUAUUAACCAGAAACAUAUAGGAGUGAGAUAUCCCUGUGACCAGUGUGAAUACGCUGCACUUUGUACUUCUAGUCUAAAAAGGCAUACUGAAAAUAUACAUGAAGGGUUUAGAUAUCCCUGUGUUCAGUGUGAAUACGCUGCCACUUCUAUUAGUCAUCUGAAGAGACAUAUUAGAAAUAAACACGAUGAGGUCAGAUAUCACUGUAAUCAGUGUGAAUACUCUGCUACUUCUACAAGUCAACUGAAGAUACACAUUGAAUGUAAACACGAUGGAGUCAGAUAUCUAUGUAAUCAGUGUGAAUACAUUGCUACAUCUCCAGGUAAUCUGAAAAUACACAUUGAAUCUAAACACGAAGGAGUAAGAUAUCCAUGUGAUCAGUGUGAAUACACUGCUACUGCUAAAACAACUCUAAGGCUGCACAUUGAAAGUAAACAUGAAGGAGUGAGAUAUCCUUGUGAUCAGUGUGAAUAUAUUGCUUCUUCUAAAUCCUGUCUAUCGAGACAUAUAAAAAAUAAACAUGAAGGAGUGAGAUAUUCUUGUGAUCAUUGUGAAUACACUGCUUCUUUUAAAAGCUGUCUAAGGAAGCACAUUCAAAGUAAACAUGAAAGAGUGAGAUAUUACUGUGAUCAGUGUGAUCUCGUUGCCACUACAUUACCAGCUCUAAAGAUACAUGUUAAAAGUCAGCAUGAAGGAGUUAGAUAUCAAUGUGAUCAGUGUGAUUACGCUGCUCCUACAAUGACUGUUUUGAAGAAACAUACUAAAUAUAAACAUGAAGGAUUUAGAUAUCUUUGUUGUCAUUGUGGGGACGUUUCUUCUACUGCAAGUACUCUAAAAAGACAUAUUCAGGGUAAACAUGAAGGGGUGAGAUAUCCUUGUGACCACUGUGAUUACGCUGCUACUCAAAUAGGUGAUCUAAAGAAACAUUUAAAAAGUAAACAUAUGAAAUAAGAUUCCCUGUGACUACUGGGAAUAUGCUGCAACUGCAGAAGAUGGUCUGAAGUAACAUAAUGAAGUAAACUAUUCCUGUAAUUUUUAGCUUUUAAAUAUUGUAUACAUAUUUCGUUUUAUGUUGUUGAUGCAUAUUUUUACGCAAAACUCUCCCACUACAAGAAUUCAAGUUGGCUCGCAAUUAAUUUCAAAUAUGAAAUGUUCUUAAUUUCAAUGAAAAUGACAGAGAAUAUAAAAGAUGAGAAAGUAUUUAUCAAGGAAGACAUUUCUACUGAAGAGGAUACAAGUACUGAAUAUCUUAAGAAAGAAGACGUUAAAAUGAAAAUUAUUGAAAUACAACAAGUGGUAUAUAUUGCAGACAACAAGUGGUAUAUGUAUUCUACUGAUCUAGAAAGAAUGGCAGAGAAUAUGAAUAAAGAAAAGUAUCCAUCAAGAAAGGAAUGCCCACUGUAGAGUGUCUAGAGGAUACAUUAACUGUAUAUUGUUUACAGGACGAAUGUCUACUGUAGAGGUUGCAUGUACUUUAUAUGUACGGGAAGAAAUAUCUACUGUAGAGAAAGCAUGUACUUUAUAUGUACUGGAUGAAAUAUCUACUGUUGAGAAAGCAUGUGUUUUAUAUGUACUGGAUGAAAUAUCUACUGUUGAGAAAGCAUGUACUUUUGAUGUACUGGAUGAAAAAUCUACUGUUGAGAAAGCAUGUACUUUUUAUGUACUGGAUGAAAUAUCUACUGUUGAGAAAGCAUGUACUUUUUAUGUACUAGAUGAAAAAGUAAAAGAGGAAUUUUCAGAAUUUCAAGGUAGUAUUUAUUGGAUCAUCUAUAUAUAUAUAUAUAUUAGUAGUUUUUGUUUGUUUAUCCGAUAAUGAUCCAUGAACACAUAGACCGAUUUUUUUCGAACUCUAAUUGGAGAAUUGAUAGAACGACUUACCUAUAACAGCCAAACCCGUCCUGUGGGUUUGAAGAUUUGUAUUAUGCUUAAUUUUGUUAAUAAAUGGCCUAAAAUUAGUGAAAUUAUGAAUUUUUUUUAACGUUCUUUUUAAAGCAUGGUGUUCAGUUGAGGUGCUUUCUAAACAAGACUUACAGAGCUGUUGGCACCCUUUUUCUAGCAACACUUUUAGCUUUUAUUGUUACUUUUUAUGUGUUCAUUAUACUAUGCAAAAACAACACUUCCCCGGAUUUAUUUUUGUCAUAAAUGCCGACAUCCGGACAAAGAUUUUCAAAUUUAACUGUUCAUAACCUUUCCAGGGGGUCAUGUGAGUUGCCAACAAAAUUUUGGCU